AACGAACGCUGGCGGCGCGUUUUAAGCAUGCAAGUCGAGCGGCAAGGGCCUCCGGGCCCCUAGAGCGGCGGACGGGUGAGUAACACGUGGACAAUCUGCCCCCCGGCCGGGGAUAGCCCAGGGAAACCUGGAUUAAUACCGGAUGAGACGGGACGCACGAUGGUGCGGUCCGGGAAAGGCGCUGCGGCGCCGCCGGGGGAUGAGUCCGCGACCCAUUAGCUGGACGGCGGGGUAAAGGCCCACCGUGGCGACGAUGGGUAGCCGGCCUGAGAGGGUGGACGGCCACAUUGGAACUGAGACACGGUCCAGACUCCUACGGGAGGCAGCAGCUAAGAAUCUUCCGCAAUGGGCGAAAGCCUGACGGAGCGACGCCGCGUGAACGAAGAAGGCCGUGAGGUUGUAAAGUUCUUUUCGGGAGGGGGAAUUACCGUGGCAGGGAAUGGCCGCGGGAUGACGUGAAUCCCGGAACAAGCCCCGGCUAACUACGUGCCAGCAGCCGCGGUAACACGUAGGGGGCGAGCGUUGUUCGGAAUCAUUGGGCGUAAAGGGCGUGCAGGCGGCACUGCAAGUCCGGCGUGAAAGACCCCGGCCCAACCGGGGGGGUGCGCUGGAAACUGCGGUGCUUGAGUACAGGAGGGGAUGCCGGAAUUCCAGGUGUAGGGGUGAAAUCUGUAGAUAUCUGGAAGAACACCGAUGGCGAAGGCAGGCAUCUGGCCAUGUACUGACGCUGAGACGCGAAAGUGCGGGGAGCAAACA
RNAcentral lists this ribosomal RNA (756 nucleotides) under uncultured Spirochaeta sp. RNAcentral describes it as "bacterial SSU rRNA". It matches the Rfam family "Bacterial small subunit ribosomal RNA", at positions 28 to 774 of the family's 1533-position model. Lineage: Bacteria; Pseudomonadati; Spirochaetota; Spirochaetia; Spirochaetales; Spirochaetaceae. The record is from RNAcentral.